CGAAACUAAAGUUGAUUUCAUUGUCGUCGUCUGUGAUUGAUCCUGCACAUUCACAUUGACGACAAAGCCCUCAGUUUUGUCAUAAGAUAUGGAUCGUGGUUUGGAGUGACUUUUAAAAGGAAGGAUUAAUACCUGGUUAAAAAAGGAAUGCAGUGGGAUUUUCUUAGAAAAAGAUGCCAAUUCCAUGUAUUUCCAACGAAACACAUGACGAAGUUUUGGCUAUAAAGGAAAUAAAUAAGACAUGUCAUCUAGCACAGAC
Mytilus trossulus (common blue mussel) is the source of this 259-nucleotide long non-coding RNA. RefSeq lists it as uncharacterized. Lineage: Eukaryota; Metazoa; Mollusca; Bivalvia; Mytilida; Mytilidae. The record is from RefSeq and is a predicted model, not a curated record. The transcript has 3 exons.